Siniperca chuatsi (mandarin fish) is the source of this 4361-nucleotide long non-coding RNA. RefSeq lists it as uncharacterized. The record is from RefSeq and is a predicted model, not a curated record. The transcript is spliced from 3 exons. Lineage: Eukaryota; Metazoa; Chordata; Actinopteri; Centrarchiformes; Sinipercidae.
CAUUGAGGGGCAUGUAGGAGGUUGAAACUGUAUAUUGUAAUUGUAUGUAUAUACUGUAUAUAUAUAUUAUAUUCAUAUAAUUUAAUGAUCUGUUCUGGGCACAUUUUAUGCUAAGUUAUGGGCUUAUGUUUAAUGAAAAAAGAUAUGUAUUUGGAAAAAUGAUUUGGAAAUAAAAUAAUUCAUUGAUUUCUAAUGCCACCACAUAUUUCUAUUCAAUGCUUUACUCAUGUGCCACAAUAAUGUAAUGUUUUUGAGUUAAAAAUAUCUUCAUUUGGGGGCUUUUCCAAGAAAAUAUUGAUAUGAUUGUUUGCGAUUAAAUCAGCAUGUAUAUUUCUGCCACUCCUUAAAGUCUCUUUAAGGAGUGGCACCCCAUGAAUAAUUCUCUAAAUCCGCCCCUGCUUGACAAUAAAAUGUACUGCACUGGAUUGAGCUGGGGGAGGGGGCAGAGAGGUGGGGUGGAGAUUUGAGUUGCUCUCCUCAACAAAAAUCUAGCAGGCUUUGUUGACAUGAAUUAGAAAAAAGCCAGUGUUUCAUAUGCAUCUCAUUGGACUCCACUGGCAAUGAAUUUGUCUAGUAUUUUUGACCUUUUAGCACAUUAGAAAAAUAGAUACCCUAAACCACAGGCUAUGGGCUUAAAUUGGAAGAAACAAAAUUAUUGAAACUAGGUUAACAUAGAGUUUUAUUACUUAUCUAUUCUUAGAACACGAGAAAUCAUCUUGGACACAUUCUUUCUAACCAACACCAAACGCGCAUCAUACCAUCGGUCCCCGCACCGGAGAGGAGAGGAAGAGAGUGGCUUGUGUAGAGGCGGGUCUUUUCUCCUGGACAAUGCAAUUAUUUCAGCUCCAUUGAUCAGGAAUGCCAGAUUUCACAGGCCGCUGUCCUCCUCCAUGCGUCGACUGCAGAACUUCCAGUGAGCCCUGUCGCCUUUAAACUUUUCCCACCCCGGCGUUCGUUGCCCGCACUACACCACCCCAACACUGCUACUGCAACCUAAGGACCACCUUUUUUCUCAGGAGUGGCUUUUCAAUAAUAAUUAUAAAAUGUAUAAAAUAUAAUAAUUAUUCUUUCCUGCAUUUUGGAAAGUAUUUGUGUCCAUGAAGUAGGAUAACUGUGAAAAAACGUGUCCUGUGCAAGAUGUAGGCUACACAUAGGCCUAUACUUCGCCUACAAAAAGCAACAGUAUUGUAUCCAGCCUGUUUAAAAUCUGGGUGGUCUUCAGUGUAGACAGGAUAGACUAGUCCAUCAUCAGUUGCCAUUUUCUGUUUUUCUGAAAGGACUCCUGCAGGUGAUAAAGUGCUUGUGGAGUUUUUUCUCGUUCCUUUGAAGCACAAUAACACGAUGUCGCACCAGUCAAAGGCGGGUAAUGAGAAAUUUGUGAAUGGAAGAGAGAAUUUGUGUUCAUUGUUAAAAUUAAACUAUACAAUGACGUCCCCUUGGUAUAUGACCAAUCCCGAAUGUGAUGAGAUAAAUUUUCCACCAAUGAGGGAAGGGACAAGAGCAGAAACGGACCAAUGGCAGGCUGGCAUGCAAAUAAGGAAUUUGUCUCGGCAAGAGCUGAAUGUCAACUAGUCAAAGAUGGAGUCCAGAGCUGGGAGGCCGUGAGGUUGCCAAUGGACGAAAUACCGUUUUUCUAACCGAGGAGCCGUUACGCCUCGUGAACCAUUACUGUGGUUGAAACGGACGUAGACCUAUGUGUGGAAGAUAGAUGGUAUCGGCGAGGACGUUUCCCCCCGCUAAAGUGGACAACUUGGCUCCGUUGUUCCUUUUCUGUGUUGAGCUGUACGGACCGGCCCUGCCUCGGCCAAGUAGCCUACCGUUCACCAGAAACUCUGGCUGCGGGAGGAGUGCGCUGCUGUUGCGGGUCGGAGAUGGCUUGGAGUUCGCAGACAGACGUGGAUGUCGGCUGUUUGCGGUCUUGGCGCCUUCUGGGAAACCCUCCAGGAGAAAGCGUGGCUCCCACAGCGGCUCCGCUGCCCAGCUGCUCGCCUGCUCCGCUGCCCAGCUGCCCGCCUACUCCACAGCCUCCUGUCUCUGCUGGAUCGCAGCAGCUCCCUGUCCCAUCACAUCACAGCAGCCAUCAUUACGACACAUAUGCAUCGGCUCUCAUGGAGUCUCUGACUGAUGGCUGCUUCAGGUCACAAAAGGCUCUACGAGAGAGAAGUGCCGUCUUGUUCUCCACUGCACCUGACCCCUUUCCAGAUCCUGCCAGAAGAUAACCAAGGAUGAGGCAGUUGGCCUGUAUCUCGCACGGCAUUCACGGUUUGACACAGGACAUUAAUGUGAAACCAGCACAGAUGUGUUGGUUCCCAGUUUACAGGUUGACAUUACUAUAAAUCAAGGCAAAGUCAGAUCAGUCCCACAAUUCAUAAUCAUAUUAUCCUCGGCCAGAGACAUACUCAGUCACAUUUGCUUAUUUGUGAGAUAUCUCAAAAACCUGGUAAGAGAGAUUUUGAUGAAAUCUGGUGAACAAUUAGGCCACUGGCCAAGGAUUGAGUGACUGUGUUUGGUGGUGGGAUCUUAGUUCUAACCCUCAGUUUACGUUUGUAUUGAAUGUGCCUUAUUGUCUUAACUGCAAUCACUAAAUAUAAGAGUACAUUAAUAGUUUAUUAUUUAUAUAGGACAUGUUUAUUAGUUUUGCUGCUGCAGCAUGCAGGCCUGCAGCAUGCAGUAUCUGUUCAAUAUAUAUAUGAUCUUAACUGUAUAAAAUGUUAUAUAGUAUGACUAUUGGUGAUUGUGAUUGAUUUAAAGCUUCGUAAAUACCCGUUCUUCUGGACACCUCACAUGAGGGUAAGAGCUUCCUAAUGUGCCUAUUCACAAUGCCUUUAGCCCAGCGGACAAACUGUAUGUAAGCUGUAUUGCCAUACUACCUGGGGAUAGAGACACAAUUUCUACAGUUAAACCUGACAAUCUUAUUUAUAACAUUAUCAAACAGUAUGAUAUAAGUAGUGAUGAUGUAAAUAUGGAUACUUGUAAUAGGGAAACAGAAAAUUUGUGGCUGAGGCACAUCAGCACCGUGGUGACAGCACAUGGGACCUGACAGUGGCUGAACUGAAAGCCCUGAAAGUGGAGCACAGGGUGCAAAAAACAUGGAGUUGGACAGCCUUUGGUUGGAAAAAUGGCCUUUUCCGUUUUUCAAGGAAACCAUGGCCAGACAUCACUUCAGGAAGACAAUGAGAUUCCUGUGGUUCGAUUAAAAAAAGAGACCCAACGUGUGCGUCUGCAGUAUGACAAGUUUGCCCUGGUAUCGGCCACUUGGAACAAGUUUGUUCAGAACAGCAUAGCCUGCUGCAAGCCCAGUGCCAACAUAACAAUAGAGGAGCAGCUGUUCCCCACCAAGGCCCGGUGCAGAUUUAUUCAGUACAUCGGAAAUAAGCCUGAUAAAUUUGAAAUAAAAUUUUGGCUGGCUUCUGAAUGGAGCUCGGUUUCUGGGAAAUGAGGAGACACAGAGCAGAGGUCAGCUUGUGGGAGAGAGUGUGGGGCUGAAACUGGGAGAGCCAUUCCUGGGGAAGUGAAGAAAUAUUACUACAGAUCAUUUCUUCAUGUCUCUCAAACUGGCCACCACCUUACAGGCCAAGAAGACAAGCCUUGUUGGCACCAUGACGAAAACUAAGCGUGAGUUGCCCCCCUCCGCAAAAGAGCAAGUGGAGCUGUCCAGCACAAAGGUGCUAAAAUGUGCUGAUGCAAUGCUCACCAUCUACCAGGGAAAGCCAAGAAAGAAUGUGUGCAUUCUGAGCUCUGUGCACACAAGCGUGGGCAUCACCGAUGGGCUGAGGGCAAAGUCAGAGUUGGUGACAUACUACAACAACACCAAGUAUGGUGUGGACGUCCUAGAUCAGAUGGCAAGGGUAUACUCUGUAUUCUACAACAUCCUCGACCUGGCUGGAAUCAGUGCCCACAUCCUCUUCAAGGAUUGCACCAGCAGAAAGAUAUCCCAGAGGGAGUUCGUGGAGGAGAAAAGGGCAGCAUGGCAGUUGCCACAGGGUCCCAGUCAGCAGCAGAAGCAAACACCGUAGCAGACACCAAAACGGAGGCAGUGCGAGGUUCGGAGAAGCUGCAAACAAAAUAAAACCCAUGACACCAAGUGACAUGUAACUUGCAUUUACUGUAAAGCUUAAAUAGCCAAGCACGCUAUUAAUUAGUUAAUAUAAAAUUAGUAGCCUAAUUAUUUUAUGGUUCUAUAGCCUAAACUUCGUUCUUGGCUUUUUUAUUUUUUUAUUUAAGAUCAGCUCGUUUCCAGCUUCUUCAAUUAUUUUCUGUGUUCUAAAUGUGUUAUAGAUGUUAAAACAACAUUUUUCCUAAUCAAAUUCAUAUUGAUAAAUGUAUAAUUAAACUUUUAGUGUUAUUUUGGUCAAAAUGAC